GAAGUAUUUCAUUAGUCUUUUCAGAUAAUUGAGAAUAUUCUUCUUUGAUACUAAACUGCAGCUCAACAAGAGGUAAUUUCUUAAAGGUCAGUUGCAAUGCAGAAUCUGAGAACAUACUAAUGACUCUUUUGUCCUCUGUACAUUAAAAUCCAUUUGGUCUAUCUUGCCCUUUAAAUGGAUGUUUUAUCCGUAUGUGAUUUGGUCAUUUGGAAAAUACUGGAUUGCUGAGUUAUGCAGCUUUUCCAAAUAUUGACACAGUUUGUUACAUGAUAUCAAAAAAUUACAAUUGUUAAUAUUACCAUCCAUCUCAUCAGAAAAGUCUAAAAGUAUGUAGAAGCUGUCACAGUCAUAGUGGUGGAUAUAAGUUUUCCAAAAUUCUAAUUUUUGUUUAACAGCUCACAUUUUUAUUGUUGCCAGUAAAUACUGCCAGUUUUCCUUGAAGUGACAGGCUCGCUUGGUUUGGUACUGUGAAAAUGUCCACCAACUGGUUUGUCUGUCAGUCAUACUUUCAAGUAUAAAGAUGGCGCCCCAUGAAGAAAGCAGCUGGUUCAGCUCACAACUCAGUUAUAGAAAUACUUUUCCUUGAGACAACCUCAAGAUAGCAGAAAUGCUUUCUGUGCACUUUUUGUUUUGACACAAAGCUUAUUAAAAUAAUGAGUGAGGGUUGACAUUUAAUGAAAUUGCUGUUUUUUAUUGACUCAACAAGGAGAUUUUUAUUGAAACUGGCCUUUUCUUCUUACUGUGAGUGCAUGGCGGGGAAGAAGAUGACCAUCAGUACAGCUUGGUGCCACUGCCUUGGUUUGUUGUUAACAUGGCAGCAGUUUUACCCAUCAGUGCUUCUGCAAAUGUCAAAAACAGUGAAAAAGGCAAAUGAUGUGUUAGUAUUAUUAUGACAACAAUUUUGACCUCACGGACCACCCAAAAGGGUCUCAGGGACCUGCAAGGGUCUGUGGGCCGGACUUUGAGGACUCCUGACUUAGAGGAUUUGACCUCCCUCAGCUUUUCUGAGUGUCUUUAUCCUCAAGAUCCCAAGGCAUUCUCAGAGGUUGCCCCUGUGCCCAGAGAAAUGGAAGGAGAAAAGCAGACCCCACCACCACUCCACUCGCUCUGGCUUUGCAAUUCCUUGGACCAUUGAGCUGCUUUGCGCCCGGGGUUAUUUCAGCUGGAGAAUCACCUUGACAUUCCUGAACUGAAGGUGAGCCUGGUGCUCCCCAAACUUGUGCCUCAGGGGUUUAGUGAACACCCCACUGACCUCCAAAUUUCCCUUUACUUAGCUUCUGAUUCUUUCCAGCCUCCAGGGCCUGGCAUGCCUUCAGGCAGCAGAAACACUGCCCUUCGCCUGUCUGUGCAGCAGCAGAGGGGCUGAAGGGCUGCAUUUUCCUCUCUGCCCUCCCUGUGAAGCGGGCCUAGCUGAAUUUUAACAUUUUAACCCGCUUCUUUCUUUGCGUCUGAUCUUUUUUUUUUUUUUUUUUUUUUUAACUGUGUGUCAGGCCAACACCGUCUAUUGUCUCUUUCCUUUAGGAUCUAUCUAAAGGUUUUUUUUCUAACAUACACCAUUUGAUUUUGUCCCGUGGGGUCCCUACUGUGAGAGAUACGCCAACAGUCCAUUCAUUCUGGGGGCAUUGAAAGUGUCCGUUUCUCUGACAGAUUCUGCUUGCUUUUCCCUCUGAACAGCCACUUCCUGGAAGAAAGCACCUUCUGCCAGAGUCACGUUCACUCAGGCCCAGCCGAUGAGUGGCUGUCCUCAGGCGGCCUCUAGAGGCACACCUCGGCACCAGGGCUGAGCCCCAGUGGCUAAACCCACACGUGUUCCCUCAUGCACGGCACAGGAAUCUGUCACCUGGAAAUGCUCCAGCAGCACUUGAGGUUUUCUAUACUACGUGGGUGUGUUAGUUUCCUCUUACUGACAUAACACAUGACCACAGACUUGCCUUCGAACAACAGAAGUUUAUUGUUUUGUGGUUCAUUAGCUCAGAAGUCCAAAGUCAAUUUUACUCGGCUAAAGUCAAGGUAUUGGCAGGGCUAGUUCCUUCUGAAGGCUCUAGGGGUAAAUGUUUCCUCUCCCUUUCUGGGUUCUGGAGAUUGCCUUGAUAGUUCCUGGUUCAUGGCUCCUUCUUUACAUUGUUCCAAUCUCUUGCUUCUGUUGUGCCUGCUCCUACUUCAAUGUCAAAUCUCCCUCUGACUCUCUAUUGGGGUGACAUCUGGGGCCCACAGAAUAAUCCAGGAUAUUCUCCCUACCGCAAUAUCCUUAAUAACACCUGCACAUUCCCUUUGAGGAUGUGGACGUCUUUGAGGGCUGUUAUUCAGCCUAGUAUAUCAUGUUUGAAAGUAAGGACAGUGACACUUCUCUUUUGAGCUUGCCCAGUCUGGCCGUUAAGAACCUCUCUUUCUUCCAAAAGAAAUUCCUCUCCUCAGCUUCCUCCCCACAUCUUCGUUAAUUUGUUCUUGCUUCACACUGCUCUAUUGUGACUACAAAAUUCCAGUUCUGUGCGUCAAUGGACAAACUUUAUCCCCUAGAUGGGUUAGGCUGGGCAACGGCCAUUUACAUUUUUCUAUAACAUAACUGUUGCUACAGUUCAAACUCAAGCAAAAAACAAAAACAAAAACCAAAAAGCAACCAUUUGUUUUCUGACUAGUGUUCAGUUCUCCCACCGUUUCUCACUGGAGAUUUGCUAGUGCUUGCCCUGGCCUUCAUAGGCUUCAGUUCUGAUUGGGGGAAAAGCCUGUUAGGG
Molecule: long non-coding RNA, 2732 nt
Organism: Macaca mulatta (Rhesus monkey)
Lineage: Eukaryota; Metazoa; Chordata; Mammalia; Primates; Cercopithecidae
Source: Ensembl